Molecule: long non-coding RNA, 229 nt
Organism: Hippocampus comes (tiger tail seahorse)
Lineage: Eukaryota; Metazoa; Chordata; Actinopteri; Syngnathiformes; Syngnathidae
Exons: 3
Source: RefSeq, a predicted model, not a curated record
AUGUUCUCACAGGGGGCGAUAUGGACCAUAGAGAUCAAAUCUACCAAGAAGAAGAACAAGGACAACAACAAGAAGGGUACCACAUCCGGUUCAGCGAGCAAGUUUUUCCGCGGGCAACAAGCCGGGCUCACAAUUGAAGAGGCUUCUGGCCAAAGGUGCAGCCGACAGACUCGGAGGACAUGCGGAAGGGAGCCCAACCUUUGGACACAUGUGAGUUUUGACCCUUGUU